GACGAGGUUGUCACAGCGGUGGUGUAGUAAGGGGUCGGCUUUUAAGUGUUUGGUUCCCAGAUCUAUUUUUUCUUUCGUCAGAUCUGGUUUUUGGUUGCAGCCGACGGCGGUGAAGCAUGGCUCUGCUUUAGAUCGAGGGUUGUUCGUCGAUUGGUUAUCCUCGUUUCUCUUCUGGGUUCGAGGUGUUUUGGAGGCAGAUCUGAAGAGGGUAGCGGUGGUUGUUGUUGUAGGUUCUUGUCUCGAGGCGUCUUGGAACGAGAGCUAUCUCCGUCCUCGUUAAAGGUAACGCUGGAGAUA
This 297-nucleotide long non-coding RNA is filed under the name Brassica napus (rape). RNAcentral describes it as "long non-coding RNA (BNAP_LNC025684)". Lineage: Eukaryota; Viridiplantae; Streptophyta; Magnoliopsida; Brassicales; Brassicaceae. The record is from RNAcentral.